This 429-nucleotide ribosomal RNA is filed under the name Acidobacteriota bacterium. Its description in RNAcentral is "Acidobacteria bacterium partial 16S ribosomal RNA". It matches the Rfam family "Bacterial small subunit ribosomal RNA", at positions 355 to 776 of the family's 1533-position model. The record is from RNAcentral. Lineage: Bacteria; Pseudomonadati; Acidobacteriota.
UGGGGAAUUUUGGACAAUGGGGGAAACCCUGAUCCAGCCAUCCCGCGUGUGCGAUGAAGGCCUUCGGGUUGUAAAGCACUUUUGGCAGGAAAGAAACGUCAUGGGUUAAUACCCCGUGAAACUGACGGUACCUGCAGAAUAAGCACCGGCUAACUACGUGCCAGCAGCCGCGGUAAUACGUAGGGUGCAAGCGUUAAUCGGAAUUACUGGGCGUAAAGCGUGCGCAGGCGGUUCGGAAAGAAAGAUGUGAAAUCCCAGAGCUCAACUUUGGCACUGCAUUUUUAACUAGCGGGUUAGAGGGGGGCAGAGGGAGGUGGAAUUCCGCGUGUAGCAGUGAAAUGCGUAGAUAUGCGGAGGAACACCGAUGGCGAAGGCAGCCUCCUGGGAUAACACUGACGCUCAUGCACGAAAGCGUGGGGAGCAAACAGG